This 835-nucleotide ribosomal RNA is filed under the name Chaetomium rectangulare. RNAcentral's name for it is "partial large subunit ribosomal RNA". It matches the Rfam family "Eukaryotic large subunit ribosomal RNA", at positions 92 to 960 of the family's 3401-position model. The record is from RNAcentral. Lineage: Eukaryota; Fungi; Ascomycota; Sordariomycetes; Sordariales; Chaetomiaceae. RNAcentral also lists the same sequence under 1 other name.
AGUGAAGCGGCAACAGCUCAAAUUUGAAAUCUGGCUUCGGCCCGAGUUGUAAUUUGCAGAGGAAGCUUUAGGCGCGGCACCUUCUGAGUCCCCUGGAACGGGGCGCCAUAGAGGGUGAGAGCCCCGUAUAGUUGGAUGCCUAGCCUGUGUAAAGCUCCUUCGACGAGUCGAGUAGUUUGGGAAUGCUGCUCAAAAUGGGAGGUAAAUUUCUUCUAAAGCUAAAUACCGGCCAGAGACCGAUAGCGCACAAGUAGAGUGAUCGAAAGAUGAAAAGCACUUUGAAAAGAGGGUUAAAUAGCACGUGAAAUUGUUGAAAGGGAAGCGCUUGUGACCAGACUUGCGCCGGGCAGAUCAUCCGGUGUUCUCACCGGUGCACUCUGCCCGGCUCAGGCCAGCAUCGGUUCUCGCGGGGGGAUAAAGGCCCUGGGAACGUAGCUCCUCCGGGAGUGUUAUAGCCCGGGGCGUAAUGCCCUCGCGGGGACCGAGGUUCGCGCAUCUGCAAGGAUGCUGGCGUAAUGGUCAUCAGCGACCCGUCUUGAAACACGGACCAAGGAGUCAAGGUUUUGCGCGAGUGUUUGGGUGUAAAACCCGCACGCGUAAUGAAAGUGAACGUAGGUGAGAGCUUCGGCGCAUCAUCGACCGAUCCUGAUGUCUUCGGAUGGAUUUGAGUAGGAGCGUUAAGCCUUGGACCCGAAAGAUGGUGAACUAUGCUUGGAUAGGGUGAAGCCAGAGGAAACUCUGGUGGAGGCUCGCAGCGGUUCUGACGUGCAAAUCGAUCGUCAAAUCUGAGCAUGGGGGCGAAAGACUAAUCGAACCAUCUCGUAGCUGGUACCGC